Molecule: ribosomal RNA, 460 nt
Filed under: uncultured bacterium
Lineage: Bacteria
Description: partial 16S ribosomal RNA
Rfam family: Bacterial small subunit ribosomal RNA
Source: RNAcentral
CCUACGGGUGGCAGCAGUGAGGAAUAUUGGUCAAUGGACGGAAGCCUGAACCAGCCAUGUCGCGUGCAGGAAGACGGCCCUAUGAGUUGUAAACUGCUUUUGUACAAGGGUAAACCUGAAUACGUGUAUUCAGCUGAAAGUACUGUACGAAUAAGGAUCGGCCAACUCCGUGCCAGCAGCCGCGGUAAUACGGAGGAUCCAAGCGUUAUCCGGGUUUAUUGGGUUUAAAGGGUGCGUAGGCGGAUUGAUAAGUUCGGGGUGAAAUGUCCGAGCUUAACUCGGGAACUGCCUCUAAUACUGUUGAUCUAGAGAGUAGAUGCGGUAGGCGGAAUGUAUGGUGUAGCGGUGAAAUGCUUAGAGAUCAUACAGAACACCGAUUGCGAAGGCAGCUUACCAAUCUAUAUCUGACGUUGAGGCACGAAAGCGUGGGGAGCAAACAGGAUUAGAUACCCUUGUAGUC